RNAcentral lists this ribosomal RNA (207 nucleotides) under uncultured bacterium. RNAcentral's name for it is "partial 16S ribosomal RNA". It matches the Rfam family "Bacterial small subunit ribosomal RNA", at positions 1286 to 1500 of the family's 1533-position model. The record is from RNAcentral.
UCCCAGUUCGGAUCGGAGCCUGCAACCCGGCUCCGUGAAGCUGGAUUCGCUAGUAAUCGCGCAUCAGCCAUGGCGCGGUGAAUACGUUCCCGGGCCUUGUACACACCGCCCGUCAAGCCAUGGGAGCCGGGGGCGCCUGAAGUGCGGUACCGCGAGGGCCGCCCAAGGGCGAGACCGGUGACUGGGGCUAAGUCGUAACAAGGUAUC